GUUGUACCUCAGUGGUAGAGCACUUUGCUACCAUAUGUGAGGUCCUGGGUUCAAUCCCCAGUACCACA
RNAcentral lists this transfer RNA (68 nucleotides) under Marmota monax (woodchuck). RNAcentral's name for it is "tRNA.Gly". Lineage: Eukaryota; Metazoa; Chordata; Mammalia; Rodentia; Sciuridae. The record is from RNAcentral.